AAUAUCAAAGGUGAGCCAGUACAGGAUGGACCCGCGUCUGAUUAGCUAGUUGGUAAGGUAACGGCUUACCAAGGCGACGAUCAGUAGCCGACCUGAGAGGGGGAUCGGCCACAUUGGAACUGAGACACGGUCCAAACUCCUACGGGAGGCAGCAGUGGGGAAUAUUGCACAAUGGGCGAAAGCCUGAUGCAGCAACGCCGCGUGAGUGAUGAAGGCCUUCGGGUCGUAAAACUCUGUCCUCAAGGAAGAUAAUGACGGUACUUGAGGAGGAAGCCCCGGCUAACUACGUGCCAGCAGCCGCGGUAAUACGUAGGGGGCUAGCGUUAUCCGGAUUUACUGGGCG
Molecule: ribosomal RNA, 343 nt
Filed under: Clostridioides difficile
Lineage: Bacteria; Bacillati; Bacillota; Clostridia; Peptostreptococcales; Peptostreptococcaceae
Description: bacterial SSU rRNA
Rfam family: Bacterial small subunit ribosomal RNA
Source: RNAcentral